RNAcentral lists this ribosomal RNA (465 nucleotides) under Vreelandella stevensii. RNAcentral's name for it is "partial 16S ribosomal RNA". It matches the Rfam family "Bacterial small subunit ribosomal RNA", at positions 338 to 795 of the family's 1533-position model. The record is from RNAcentral. Lineage: Bacteria; Pseudomonadati; Pseudomonadota; Gammaproteobacteria; Oceanospirillales; Halomonadaceae.
CCUACGGGGGGCUGCAGUGGGGAAUAUUGGACAAUGGGCGAAAGCCUGAUCCAGCAAUGCCGCGUGUGUGAAGAAGGCCUUCGGGUUGUAAAGCACUUUUAGUGGGGAAGAAAGCCUUGGGGCUAAUACCCUCGAGGAAGGACAUCACCCACAGAAGAAGCACCGGCUAACUCCGUGCCAGCAGCCGCGGUAAUACGGAGGGUGCGAGCGUUAAUCGGAAUUACUGGGCGUAAAGCGCGCGUAGGCGGGUUGAUAAGCCGGUUGUGAAAGCCCCGGGCUCAACCUGGGAACGGCAUCCGGAACUGUCAAGCUUGAGUGCAGGAGAGGAAGGUAGAAUUCCCGGUGUAGCGGUGAAAUGCGUAGAGAUCGGGAGGAAUACCAGUGGCGAAGGCGGCCUUCUGGGCUGACACUGACGCUGAGGUGCGAAAGCGUGGGUAGCAAACAGGAUUAGAUACCCCGGUAGUC